AAAGAAAAAGAAAAUGAAAGAAAAGGAGAAAAACACAUCCAUGCCAAAAGACAUGAAACAGGUCCAUUGAAAAUACCCUUGGCAUUCAUCCCAUCAGUGUUGGGUGGACAGGCAGGGGUGGUUCCCUAAUACAUGCAAGCCAUUCUGUUAUAUUUAAGCACAUAAAUAGCUCAGUGCACAAGUAAAGCAUAUGCUUAAACACAGGAAUUUCACCUUUAAACUUGAUGUGCAGCAGCUGACGUAGCCAAACCAAUACAGAAAAUAAGUAAAACAGUAAAAAUUAAAAGAUGCAGAUAAUGCACAAACUAACAAACUUUGACUAACAAUAUGUGGCUAGCAACAUGAGUUUCAUUAUUAACAGUCCCAAACCUCCCAUAAUAAAUAACCUAAUCAAUUGGUUGUUACCAAAUAUUUGCAAUGCCAACCCCUCCCUCAGACACAUACAGUGGAAAUGAGGCAAGGGGGGGAGGGGAGGGGGGGCCACGGGGGGUUGUUGUGUAAGAAGGAGUUUCUGGCUUGCUGCUUUUAGUUCAUGAAGUUGAAGGCAACAAAUAACUUAAUGUCAACAACAUGAAUUGCAUUAUAACAAGUUUAAAAAAAAUGGAGUUUUUGGUUUUAUUGUUAACAUUCAUAUCUCAGUUCAUUUCAAACUUCCUCUCAUCAUCCCAUCACUACUAGAACUAACCCUAGUCUAUGAAAACCCCUUAAAGCAUAAGAAACCUCACCUUGAGGAGCUCUGAUGAACGGAA
This 749-nucleotide unclassified non-coding RNA is filed under the name Hevea brasiliensis (rubber tree). The record is from RNAcentral. Lineage: Eukaryota; Viridiplantae; Streptophyta; Magnoliopsida; Malpighiales; Euphorbiaceae.